Molecule: long non-coding RNA, 454 nt
Filed under: Brachypodium distachyon (stiff brome)
Lineage: Eukaryota; Viridiplantae; Streptophyta; Magnoliopsida; Poales; Poaceae
Description: long non-coding RNA (BDIS_LNC001622)
Source: RNAcentral
CCUUUUCCCACUUUUGAGACAAAGUUGGUGUCUGCCCUAAUUUUUUUGCCCUGCCUGGCUGAAAGAUGGAGGUCACUACGUUUGUCAGAUAUACCAAACCCAAAGCUGGAGGAGAUGGUGAAAGAUACACAUGCAUGCACAUACCAGUCAUCAGAGAAAGGGAUCUUUAUGUCUCAUCUCCUGGUGUUUAAUGCAUUGAAUCUCGUCCGUGAAGUACUCAGCCGUUUGAAGAUCGGAGUAUAAACUUUCUAACUGAGAAUCACGAGCUUAUAUUAGUUACCGAAUACACGGAGAAACUAAGGCCGAAGCCUUGGAACAGAUAGGUAUAUACAGUCCGGUUGCGAGGGAGGAGAGGUCUGACUAGCAAUCAGAUCAGCUUCAUCAAGCAUUUAGUGCCUCUUUGAUUCAUGAGAUUUUGAAAACAUAAAAACAGGACAAACACAAGAAUUGAUAG